GAUGAACGCUGGCGGCGUGCCUAAUACAUGCAAGUCGAGCGAACAGACGAGGAGCUUGCUCCUCUGACGUUAGCGGCGGACGGGUGAGUAACACGUGGAUAACCUACCUAUAAGACUGGGAUAACUUCGGGAAACCGGGGCUAAUACCGGAUAAUAUAUUGAACCGCAUGGUUCAAUAGUGAAAGACGGUUUUGCUGUCACUUAUAGAUGGAUCCGCGCCGCAUUAGCUAGUUGGUAAGGUAACGGCUUACCAAGGCAACGAUGCGUAGCCGACCUGAGAGGGUGAUCGGCCACACUGGAACUGAGACACGGUCCAGACUCCUACGGGAGGCAGCAGUAGGGAAUCUUCCGCAAUGGGCGAAAGCCUGACGGAGCAACGCCGCGUGAGUGAUGAAGGUCUUCGGAUCGUAAAACUCUGUUAUUAGGGAGGAACAAAUGUGUAAGUAACUAUGCACGUCUUGACGGUACCUAAUCAGAAAGCCACGGCUAACUACGUG
This 497-nucleotide ribosomal RNA is filed under the name uncultured bacterium. RNAcentral describes it as "partial 16S ribosomal RNA". It matches the Rfam family "Bacterial small subunit ribosomal RNA", at positions 28 to 507 of the family's 1533-position model. The record is from RNAcentral.